UACGUAGGGGGCAAGCGUUGUCCGGAUUCACUGGGCGUAAAGCGCGUGUAGGCGGCGCGUCAAGUCGGGUGUGAAAGCCCGGGGCUCAACCCCGGGAUGCCGCUCGAAACUGGCGCGCUUGAGGACGGAAGAGGGGAGUGGAAUUCCUGGUGUAGCGGUGAAAUGCGUAGAGAUCAGGAGGAACACCCGUGGCGAAGGCGGCUCCCUGGUCCGUCCCUGACGCUGAGACGCGAAAGCGCGGGGAGCGAACGGG
This 253-nucleotide ribosomal RNA is filed under the name uncultured bacterium. Its description in RNAcentral is "partial 16S ribosomal RNA". It matches the Rfam family "Bacterial small subunit ribosomal RNA", at positions 524 to 776 of the family's 1533-position model. The record is from RNAcentral.